Equus caballus (horse) is the source of this 1208-nucleotide non-coding RNA. The record is from RefSeq and is a predicted model, not a curated record. Lineage: Eukaryota; Metazoa; Chordata; Mammalia; Perissodactyla; Equidae.
AGUGUACUUUGUAUUCACAGUACUGAUGGAGAGCAUGAGCGCAGAUAUCUGUACAGCGCUACACGUGCAAAGGAAGCCGGGACCCGGUCAAUAGGAAACCCUGCACGGGCACAUUCCUCACACUUGUUCGCUAAGGGGGACAGAUAUUGGUGAAAUAUUUGAGUCACACAAAUGUUAAAGCUCAUGAAACAAGCAUGAUGAAGUCCAUGAGUGAGGAAAUAAAUGGAAUUAAGAAGAAAUCAUUAAGUAAAUCCAGAAGCAGGACAAUCUAUAAGACAACUGUCACUAGUUCAUAAGAAAUUGAUGUCACAAAAUACAAAAGUUGAAGCAAGCUGAGAGUCGAAAAGUGACUAAGAAGAUAUAACAACCAAAUUCAACGAGUGAAAUUAAAUUGUAUCAUAUAUCUAAAAAUAUUUAUGAAGUCAUUGUUGGAAAAACUCAAAGUAUAAAUAUACUAUCUAGGCAUGAAGUAUCAUGGAAUCUAUACGUGAAUUGCAAGUGAUUUAAAAUAAAUAAAAGAGAGACAGAGAAAAAGAGAGAGGGGGAGAGUCAGCAAAUAAGGCUCGAGGUCAACCGUGAAAUCUGUGCAGAAGGAGUAAAAUUAUUUAUUUAACUAUUUUAUAUACUUAAGUGUUUUGAUAAUAAAAAUUGAGGGAAAAUCAACAGCAUAAUUUCAACAAUAUCCAAAAAGUAAGUUUAAAUUUCUACUCACACACGCAAAAAGCAAAUACUGUACUUUGUAAAUAAUAACACAAACUGGGGACAAAUUUUAUUUUACAAGCAGUCAUAAUCGAUAUGUUGCUGGAACCACUCGUUGACAGUCAAGGGGAUUCUAAUUUGCUACUUGCUCUAAAGAGCCCUUAACAUUUUGUAUCAGGAAAGGUGCAUUAUUCAAUGUGUGUAAAAUAAAAGGCAUGUCUUCGUAGUUAAAAAUUCAGAGAUUAUCUGUCUAUUUUGAAAACCAAUCACUUCCUUCUUUGGCCACAUUUCUUGAUUCAUAUUAUAAGCAUGAGCUUUAAUCAGGCAGCAGGCGUAUGAGAAACACCAGAAGUAAAAGAUCUAAUGAGGAUAACAAUCCAAACUCAAUUCAGGAAAUGUUCGGAAAGCAUCUUCCCUGAGCUACGAACCCUUUUACUUUGUGAGAUUAUUUGAAUCAAUCUACUUGACCACAAACAAUGAAAUGUUUCAAGUCCAAGUGUGGAAAAAAA